UACAGAGGCCUCGAGCGUUAGGCGGAAUCACUGGGCUUAAAGCGUGUGUAGGCGGAUGGGUAAGUACCUUGUGAAAUCCCACGGCUCAACCGUGGAACUGCUCGGUAUACUGCUCGUCUUGAGCCAACUAGGGGCGACCGGAACAAACGGUGGAGCGGUGAAAUGCGCAGAUAUCGUUUGGAACGCCGAUGGUGAAAACAGGUCGCUGGGGUUGUGCUGACGCUGAGACACGAAAGCCAGGGGAGCGAACGGG
This 253-nucleotide ribosomal RNA is filed under the name uncultured bacterium. Its description in RNAcentral is "partial 16S ribosomal RNA". It matches the Rfam family "Bacterial small subunit ribosomal RNA", at positions 524 to 776 of the family's 1533-position model. The record is from RNAcentral.